CCUACGGGAGGCAGCAGUGGGGAAUAUUGCACAAUGGGCGCAAGCCUGAUGCAGCGACGCCGCGUGAGGGAUGACGGCCUUCGGGUUGUAAACCUCUUUCAGUAGGGAAGAAGCGUAAAGUGACGGUACCUGCAGAAGAAGCGCCGGCUAACUACGUGCCAGCAGCCGCGGUAAUACGUAGGGCGCAAGCGUUAUCCGGAAUUAUUGGGCGUAAAGAGCUCGUAGGCGGUUUGUCGCGUCUGCUGUGAAAGACCGGGGCUCAACUCCGGUUCUGCAGUGGGUACGGGCAGACUAGAGUGCAGUAGGGGAGACUGGAAUUCCUGGUGUAGCGGUGAAAUGCGCAGAUAUCAGGAGGAACACCGAUGGCGAAGGCAGGUCUCUGGGCUGUAACUGACGCUGAGGAGCGAAAGCAUGGGGAGCGAACAGGAUUAGAUACCCUGGUAGUCCAUGCCGUAAACGUUGGGCACUAGGUGUGGGGGACAUUCCACGUUUUCCGCGCCGUAGCUAACGCAUUAAGUGCCCGCCUGGGGNGGACGGCCGCGAAGGACGUAAACGUUAACGUUAAGUAGUUAGUUAGUACGCGNGNGNGCGACGACGACGACGACGGAGGAGGAG
Molecule: ribosomal RNA, 615 nt
Filed under: uncultured bacterium
Lineage: Bacteria
Description: bacterial SSU rRNA
Rfam family: Bacterial small subunit ribosomal RNA (bases 1-525)
Source: RNAcentral